Molecule: ribosomal RNA, 468 nt
Filed under: uncultured bacterium
Lineage: Bacteria
Description: partial 16S ribosomal RNA
Rfam family: Bacterial small subunit ribosomal RNA
Source: RNAcentral
GACGAACGCUGGCGGCGUGCUUAACACAUGCAAGUCGAACGGAAAGGCCCUGCUUUUGUGGGGUGCUCGAGCGGCGAACGGGUGAGUAACACGUGAGUAACCUGCCCUUGACUUUGGGAUAACUUCAGGAAACUGGGGCUAAUACCGGAUAGGAGCUCCUGCUGCAUGGUGGGGGUUGGAAAGUUUCGGCGGUUGGGGAUGGACUCGCGGCUUAUCAGCUUGUUGGUGGGGUAGUGGCUUACCAAGGCUUUGACGGGUAGCCGGCCUGAGAGGGUGACCGGCCACAUUGAGACUGAGAUACGGCCCAGACUCCUACGGGAGGCAGCAGUGGGGAAUAUUGCACAAUGGGCGGAAGCCUGAUGCAGCAACGCCGCGUGCGGGAUGACGGCCUUCGGGUUGUAAACCGCUUUCGCCUGUGACGAAGCGUGAGUGACGGUAAUGGGUAAAGAAGCACCGGCUAACUACGUG